AGUGAACGCUGGCGGUAGGCCUAACACAUGCAAGUCGAACGGCAGCACAGUAAGAGCUUGCUCUUACGGGUGGCGAGUGGCGAACGGGUGAGGAAUACAUCGGAAUCUACUUUUUCGUGGGGGAUAACGUAGGGAAACUUACGCUAAUACCGCAUACGACCUACGGGUGAAAGCAGGGGAUCUUCGGACCUUGCGCGAUUGAAUGAGCCGAUGUCGGAUUUGCUAGUUGGCGGGGUAAAGGCCCACCAAGGCGACGAUCCGUAGCUGGUCUGAGAGGAUGAUCAGCCACACUGGAACUGAGACACGGUCCAGACUCCUACGGGAGGCAGCAGUGGGGAAUAUUGGACAAUGGGCGCAAGCCUGAUCCAGCCAUACCGCGUGGGUGAAGAAGGCCUUCGGGUUGUAAAGCCCUUUUGUUGGGAAAGAAAAGCAGCAGGUUAAUACCCCGCUGUUCUGACGGUACCCAAAGAAUAAGCACCGGCUAACUUCGUG
This 492-nucleotide ribosomal RNA is filed under the name uncultured bacterium. RNAcentral's name for it is "partial 16S ribosomal RNA". It matches the Rfam family "Bacterial small subunit ribosomal RNA", at positions 29 to 507 of the family's 1533-position model. The record is from RNAcentral.